RNAcentral lists this ribosomal RNA (540 nucleotides) under Lygosoma sp. E59. RNAcentral describes it as "partial 16S ribosomal RNA". It matches the Rfam family "Bacterial large subunit ribosomal RNA", at positions 1843 to 2637 of the family's 2925-position model. Lineage: Eukaryota; Metazoa; Chordata; Lepidosauria; Squamata; Scincidae. The record is from RNAcentral.
GUAUUAAAGGUCCCGCCUGCCCAGUGAAAUAUUUUUAACGGCCGCGGUAUUCUAACCGUGCAAAGGUAGCGUAAUCACUUGUCUUCUAAAUAAAGACUCGUAUGAACGGCUAAAUGAGGACGGGCCUGUCUCCUGUGUCCAAUCAGUGAAACUGAUCUUCCAGUACAAAAGCUGGAAUAUGACCAUAAGACGAGAAGACCCUGUGGAGCUUCAAACCAACCACUACAAUACUACUAGUACUAGGUUUUUAGUUGGGGCGACUUCGGAACAAAGUAAAACUUCCGAGUACAAAGGCACCACCUUAUUCUAGGCCUACAAGCCAAAAACAGACAAAUGACCCAGUCUUACUGAACAACGAACCAAGUUACCCCAGGGAUAACAGCGCCAUCUUCUUCAAGAGUCCAUAUCGACAAGAAGGUUUACGACCUCGAUGUUGGAUCAGGACACCCAAAUGGUGCAGCCGCUAUUAAAGGUUCGUUUGUUCAACGAUUAACAGUCCUACGUGAUCUGAGUUCAGACCGGAGAAACCCAGGUCGGUUU